RNAcentral lists this ribosomal RNA (404 nucleotides) under uncultured bacterium. RNAcentral describes it as "partial 16S ribosomal RNA". It matches the Rfam family "Bacterial small subunit ribosomal RNA", at positions 28 to 526 of the family's 1533-position model. The record is from RNAcentral.
GUCGAACGCUGGCGGCGUGCCUAAUACAUGCAAGUCGAACGCAGUGGGGACGGGUGAGUAACACGUGGGUAACCUCCCAUCAGAGGGGAUAACACUUGGAAACAGGUGCUAAAACCGAUACGGUUGGAUGGACCAGCGGGGCAUUAGCGAGUUGGUGAGGUAACGGCCCACCAAGGCCACGAUGCAUAGCCGACCUGAGAGGGUGAUCGGACACCCUGGGACUGAGCCACGGCCCAGACUCCUAAGGGAGGCAGCAGUAGGGAAUCGUCGGCAAUGGACGAAAGUCUGACAGAGCAACGCCGCGUGGGUGAAGAAGGUGUUCGGGUCGUAAAAUUCUGUUGUUAGAGAAGCGGUAGCUAACGAGAAAGCCACGGCUAACUACGUGCCAGCAGCCGCGGUAAUUC